GGAAUUUCAAGGGUGAGGAAGCUGAGUGAACUGUUUUCUGCUGACAGUAGGUGGUGGAAUGAGGACACUCUCCAAGAGAACUUCUUAACACCAGACAUCUGGGUGAUAAAGAAGACCCCUCUUGGAAAAUUGGACCAGGAUAUGUGGGUGUGAUCCAGAAUUUUAUGCCUAUCAGGGCUAACUUGCACCUCCAUCCCUACGCCCCUUUGAUUACAUUUGCAAUUCAAUAUGCAAAUAAGCUGGAUGCUUGGAUGCCCGUGGGAGGUAACUACAUUUCUUCCGUUGCUGAAAAAGCUGAGGUGAAUUCUAUGACAGUGAGGGUUGAUGAUAGGAGCACAAGUAAUUCUGAUGUCUCCAACUAAAAGUCUAACUGCAGGAGUAUGUAGAAUCUUCUUUACUUAACUAGCUGAUACUCACGGACAUAUCGUGAAGCACAAGCAGCCUUGCAACCACAAACCUUGCAGACUUCUCUUUUCAUAUCCAAACUUUGCAAACAUUUCAUUCAUGUUUUUAAACUUAUUCUGCGUUUAUUUUAGUGCACCAAGAAAAAAUAAA
This is a long non-coding RNA of Triticum dicoccoides, 555 nucleotides long. RefSeq lists it as uncharacterized. The transcript has 3 exons. The record is from RefSeq and is a predicted model, not a curated record. Lineage: Eukaryota; Viridiplantae; Streptophyta; Magnoliopsida; Poales; Poaceae.